GAGCGGAGAAUGUGACUCGUAAA
Molecule: ribosomal RNA, 23 nt
Filed under: Asparagus racemosus
Lineage: Eukaryota; Viridiplantae; Streptophyta; Magnoliopsida; Asparagales; Asparagaceae
Description: partial 18S ribosomal RNA
Source: RNAcentral